CGGGCAUUUGGCCGUCAUUGGGGAUUUAGGCAUUAGGGAUUGUUUUCUUCUUUGUUUCUCUGAGAAGCGAGAACAAAUGGAGAACUUUUUAAGCAUUUAGGCAUUCGGCCAUUGUUUUGUGGCACUGGCAGGUUUGAACAAUUUUUCUUUCGGCACUGGCAGGUUUGAACAAUUUGUCGGCACUGGCCAUUGUUUUGUCGGCACUGGAACUUGGAAGUUCGAAGUUCUUCAAGGAAGCCGUCGCUGCUACUGAAGCUGCCGUUGCCGUUGCCGUUGGUACUGAAGCUGCCGCUGCCAUUGCUACUGAAGCUGCCGCGGCCACUGAAGCUCCAGGUACUCGAAGCUACCACUACCGCUGCUACUGAAGCUGCUGCUACCACCGAAGCUCCAGGUACUCGAGGCUGCCGCUGCCGCUGCCACCGAAGCUGCCGCUUCCAGGAAGCUUUGUUCCUCUCAAUCCUCUUGUGGAGUUUGACGGUCUCUCUCCCUAUUCUCUUAAGGAAUGAAACUCUAAAUUUGGAUGAUUUGGACACGGGAGAUGAAGAUGAGACCAAUAAUGAAGAGAAUGUGGAAAGAAAUGUUCUUAAUGUGGGCUGUGAUGUAAAUGAACUUGGUGGUACUGAAUUUGGCAGAAGUUGGGAACCAUGGGCAUGAAUAAUAGAUGGAGUGAACUACUCAAGUGAUAAUUGUGGUGUUGUUUAUGUUCAUGACUUUAUGUUUGGUUGUAUUGAAUUUGUCGUUUA
This is a non-coding RNA of Coffea arabica (coffee), 743 nucleotides long. The record is from RefSeq and is a predicted model, not a curated record. NCBI's taxonomy places the organism in Eukaryota, Viridiplantae, Streptophyta, Magnoliopsida, Gentianales, Rubiaceae.